CUACGGGAGGCAGCAGUGGGGAAUUUUCCGCAAUGGGCGAAAGCCUGACGGAGCAAUACCGCGUGAGGGAAGACGGCCUAUGGGUUGUAAACCUCUUUUUUCAGGGAGGAAUUUUGACGUGUACCUGAAGAAUAAGCAUCGGCUAACUCCGUGCCAGCAGCCGCGGUAAGACGGAGGAUGCAAGUGUUAUCCGGAAUCACUGGGCGUAAAGCGUCUGUAGGUGGUUGAACAAGUCAACUGUUAAAUCUUGAGGCUCAACUUCAAAAUCGCAGUCGAAACUGUUUGACUAGAGUAUAGUAGGGGUAAAGGGAAUUUCCAGUGGAGCGGUGAAAUGCGUAGAUAUUGGAAAGAACACCGAUGGCGAAGGCACUUUACUGGGCUAUUACUGACACUCAGAGACGAAAGCUAGGGUAGCAAAUGGGAUUAGAUACCCCAGUAGUCCUAGCCGUAAACAAUGGAUACUAGAUGUUGAACAGAUCGACCUGUGCAGUAUCAAAGCUAACGCGUUAAGUAUCCCGCCUGGGAAGUAUGCUCGCAAGAGUGAAACUCAAAU
Molecule: ribosomal RNA, 553 nt
Filed under: uncultured bacterium
Lineage: Bacteria
Description: bacterial SSU rRNA
Rfam family: Bacterial small subunit ribosomal RNA
Source: RNAcentral